Molecule: unclassified non-coding RNA, 208 nt
Filed under: Hevea brasiliensis (rubber tree)
Lineage: Eukaryota; Viridiplantae; Streptophyta; Magnoliopsida; Malpighiales; Euphorbiaceae
Source: RNAcentral
AGAAGAAAAAGAAGAAGAAGAAUGCAGCGCCAGUAUACAGAGGAUGUGGGUGUCCAUGGUAAAACUAGUUGGUUGAUGACAACUUUUUAAUAGAUGAAACCACAAAGGAAGUGAAAAUGGCAUUGAUCAAACUAAGUAAACAGGAAUUUCACAUUCCAGAUGAAGUGAUUAACUUAUUUCAAGUCCACAAAAAAAAAAAAAAAAAAAA